Bombyx mori (domestic silkworm) is the source of this 692-nucleotide long non-coding RNA. RefSeq lists it as uncharacterized. The record is from RefSeq and is a predicted model, not a curated record. The transcript has 2 exons. Lineage: Eukaryota; Metazoa; Arthropoda; Insecta; Lepidoptera; Bombycidae.
GCCCCCGCACCCACCGCCGCACCGACACUCGCGCCCGCUCCGCUGCCGCCAGACAGAGACUCUAACGUCUCUAAAUUUGCUCUGAAAUUCAACAAAGACUAUGACGGCAAAACAAAAUCGCUAAAUAUAAAUUUCGGGGAUUCCCCAUGAAGUUAUAAUAUAACGCAAGGUGAAAUUGGUUAAAGUCGAGGAAUCAAAAUAUCCGAAGUCGUCCCGGGGGAGUAAAUAGUGAUAGGAUUUUAGACCUAAACACCUAAGAGCAACUCACUGAGAGCGGCGAGAUGCGGCGCGAGCGGUAGUUGGUAGUCCUGCGCGAGUGCGCUUCCACGCAACAACCGCUCUACUGCCUGACUCUCUGAUAAGUUAGAUGAUCCUGAAUCUGGCAAAAAGAUCUCUUUAUCAUAUCCAAACCUUGAAUACUAGUCUUAGUCUAGACGUGUAUUGAAAUUUUCAAGAUAAGCUUGCACAGAGACAAGUUCCGAACAACAACAUUUGGACUGUCGGUCUACCGAGCAAUAUCACCUGCUCGCUGGAACAUCUUCCUUUCAUCAGAUACCUACAUACGAAUUUCUGUUAUUUAAUUUUCAUGAAUGUUACGAAAGCUGAACAGCACUCAUUUAUUUAAUUCUCAAUACUGCUUGAGGUACUAGCUUGAUUAGAUCUACAAUAAUUAAACCUACUUGUAUGAGAAA